Molecule: ribosomal RNA, 253 nt
Filed under: uncultured bacterium
Lineage: Bacteria
Description: partial 16S ribosomal RNA
Rfam family: Bacterial small subunit ribosomal RNA
Source: RNAcentral
UACGUAGGGUGCGAGCGUUGUCCGGAAUUAUUGGGCGUAAAGGGCUCGUAGGCGGUCUGUCGCGUCGAAAGUGAAAACCCAGGGCUUAACCCUGGGCCUGCUUCCGAUACGGGCAGACUAGAGGUAUGCAGGGGAGAACGGAAUUCCUGGUGUAGCGGUGAAAUGCGCAGAUAUCAGGAGGAACACCGGUGGCGAAGGCGGUUCUCUGGGCAUUACCUGACGCUGAGGAGCGAAAGUGUGGGGAGCAAACGGG